AUUUGUAGUAAAAUAUGAACAAUUGUAUACAUAGGGAAGACGUAUGCAUUCAAUGGUGUGUGUGAUAGCUGGUUGUACCGAGUGAUCAUCAGAGCAUGCCAUCAUUGUUCAGUCGCAAAAAAAGAAAAGAAACAAAAGCAUAAAAAUAACUAAAAUUGACAACAAAAUUAGUAUAGGUUCAACUAAAAAUCGUCUAUACCAGAAGAUGUGUGUAUCAUAUAAGAGAGAUAGAAAGAGUGAUUAGGCUACGGACUUCUCCACCGAGCGAUUGAAAAACCAACGUGCACUGACGCCCGUGUCCUUCACGAUGUCCAGAUCUCCUAUACGGCUAUACCUCAAAAGACAUCUCUCAAGCAUAAGGAGACGCUAAGAAACACUGGGAAAACACAACAGUCAAAUUGGUUAUUCAGCACACACAUAAGGUGUCCCAACAUAUAUACUUUUCAUAUAUGUGGGUCGAACCUUCACAUCAUAAACUAUAAAUUUAACUAUUGAUAAAAUGCACUCAUAGACAAAUAUAAGAGAUGUCAAUACAGAAAACAACCUUAGUGCCUUUGGAUGGAUUCUCUUGUAGUCUCUUCUCGGGAAUGGAAACCUAGAACAAAUUAGUACACGAUCAUCCCAAAAACAAGGAAUGGGAAGGAGUUGGGAUGGGCAGCUGAAAAGGGACUCACCAGCAUCAACCACAGCCAUGUAUGGGUUUUGAUAGGCAAAGAAGACAGGGGAUCCAGGAGAAGAAGGAGGUGGAACCGUGGAAGUCAAUCGGAAAAG
Molecule: long non-coding RNA, 771 nt
Filed under: Triticum aestivum (bread wheat)
Lineage: Eukaryota; Viridiplantae; Streptophyta; Magnoliopsida; Poales; Poaceae
Description: long non-coding RNA (TAES_LNC007873)
Source: RNAcentral